UUCGGGAUGUGGAAAGUGGCGCACGGGUGAGUAACGCGUGGGAACCUACCCUUUAGUACGGAACAACAGUUGGAAACGACUGCUAAUACCGUAUAAUCCCUCCGGGGCAAAGAUUUAUCGCUGAAGGAUGGGCCCGCGUAAGAUUAGCUAGUUGGUGGGGUAAUGGCCUACCAAGGCGACGAUCUUUAACUGGUCUGAGAGGAUGACCAGUCACACUGGGACUGAGACACGGCCCAGACUCC
Molecule: ribosomal RNA, 242 nt
Filed under: uncultured bacterium
Lineage: Bacteria
Description: partial 16S ribosomal RNA
Rfam family: Bacterial small subunit ribosomal RNA
Source: RNAcentral